AGAGUUUGAUCCUGGCUCAGAACGAACGUUGGCGGCGUGGAUUAGGCAUGCAAGUCGAACGCGAAAGGUCACCUUCGGGUGAACGAGUAGAGUGGCGAACUGGUGAGUAACAGGUGGGUAAUGUGCCUCUUAGUGUGGGAUAACCUCUGGAAACAGUGGCUAAUACCUCAUGUGGCACGGAUAACGUUGGUUAACCGUGCUAAAGACUUCGGUCGCUAAGAGAGCAGCCCGCCCCCGAUUAGCUUGUUGGUAGGGUAACGGCCUACCAAGGCUCCGAUCGGUAGGUGGCCUGAGAGGGUGGUCACUCACACUGGGACUGAGAUACGGCCCAGACUCCUACGGGGGGCAGCAGUCUAGAAGCUUCCACGAUGGACGAAAGUCUGAUGGAGCGACGCCGCGUGUGGGAUGACAGCCGUGAGGUUGUAAACCACUGUCAGCAGGGAAGAAUGCCUUGAUGGUGAAUCAGGGAGAGACGGUACCUGCAGAGGAAGCCCCGGCUAACUCCGUGCCAGCAGCCGCGGUAAUACGGAGGGGGCAAACGUUGUUCGGAUUUACUGGGCGUAAAGGGUGUCUAGGCGGUUCGAUUAGUCUGGUGUGAAAUAUCCUCGCUCAACGAGGAAGACGCAUUGGAAAC
RNAcentral lists this ribosomal RNA (634 nucleotides) under uncultured bacterium. RNAcentral's name for it is "bacterial SSU rRNA". It matches the Rfam family "Bacterial small subunit ribosomal RNA", at positions 8 to 633 of the family's 1533-position model. The record is from RNAcentral.